This 186-nucleotide unclassified non-coding RNA is filed under the name uncultured Myriangiales. RNAcentral describes it as "sequence contains ITS1". The record is from RNAcentral. Lineage: Eukaryota; Fungi; Ascomycota; Dothideomycetes.
ACGAGAUAGGGUCCCUCGGGGCCCGACCUCCAACCCUUUGUCGUUCAAAAAAAUCUUUGUUGCUUUGGCGGGACCGCCGCGCCUCACGGCCGGCUGUCUGGCUUCGGCCGGGCAAGCGCCCGCCAGGGGUAAACUCGAAACUCUUUCUGUAUAACAUGUCGUCUGAGUUAAAUUGUAAAUCAAUCA